ACACAUCAAAACUGUCUAUAAAUACAAAUUUUUCUAUUUUCUUUCAUUUUUCUUGAUUUCCAUUUCUUCAACAAUAACUAGGCAGCAAAUCUUGAUUUCCUUUGUCUUUAUUUUUUGCAAUGAUGAUUGAUGAUUUCUUGAGCCUGAAAAUAGAAAACUCAUUUGAUUAGAUCCCAUACACAAUCAAACUUUUUGUGAGGUGAGGCUCACUUCGUUCAAUGAUCUUGGUUCGAUGAUCUUGCUUCUGAGUUUCAAAGACCAUGUAAACAUGGGAUUACGAAAAACAGUUUAUAG
This is a long non-coding RNA of Trifolium pratense (red clover), 294 nucleotides long. RefSeq lists it as uncharacterized. Lineage: Eukaryota; Viridiplantae; Streptophyta; Magnoliopsida; Fabales; Fabaceae. The transcript has 3 exons. The record is from RefSeq and is a predicted model, not a curated record.